This 750-nucleotide ribosomal RNA is filed under the name uncultured bacterium. RNAcentral's name for it is "bacterial SSU rRNA". It matches the Rfam family "Bacterial small subunit ribosomal RNA", at positions 28 to 776 of the family's 1533-position model. The record is from RNAcentral.
GAUUAACGCUAGCGGGAUGCCUAAUACAUGCAAGUCGAACGAAGUAUUUAUACUUAGUGGCGAACGGGUGAGUAACACGUAUCCAACAUACCCAUAAGAGGGGGAUAACUAGUUGAAAAACUAGCUAAUACCCCAUAGCAUAUUUUUACAUAAGUAUUAAUAUUUAAAGUUGCGUUUGCAACACUUUUGGAUUGGGGUGCGACGUAUUAGAUUGUUGGUGAGGUAAUGGCUCACCAAGUCGAUGAUGCGUAGCUGUGCUGAGAGGCAGAACAGCCACAAUGGGACUGAGACACGGCCCAUACUUCUACGGAAGGCAGCAGUAGGGAAUUUUCCACAAUGGGCGAAAGCCUGAUGGAGCAAUCCCGCGUGAACGAUGAAGGUCCUACAAGAUUGUAAAGUUCUUUUAUUGGGGAAGAAAUGUAAGAAAAGGAAAUGUUUUUUAUUUGACGGUACCCUUUGAAUAAGUAUCGGCUAACUAUGUGCCAGCAGCCGCGGUAAUACAUAGGAUGCAAGCGUUAUCCGGAUUUACUGGGCGUAAAGCGAGCGCAGGCGGAUUUACAAGUCUGAUGUUAAAGACAACUGCUUAACGGUUGUUUGCAUUGGAAACUGUAAGUCUAGAGUAUAGUAGAGAGUUUUGGAACUCCAUGUGGAACGGUGGAAUGCGUAGAUAUAUGGAAGAACACCAGAGGCGAAGGCGAAAACUUAGGCUAUAACUGACGCUUAGGCUCGAAAGUGUGGGGAGCAAAUAGG